Molecule: long non-coding RNA, 3160 nt
Organism: Echinops telfairi (small Madagascar hedgehog)
Lineage: Eukaryota; Metazoa; Chordata; Mammalia; Afrosoricida; Tenrecidae
Exons: 3
Source: RefSeq, a predicted model, not a curated record
UAACUGUUACAGUAUAUGUUGUUAGACUUAAAUUUCUUUUAUCCCUAUCUAACUCCAUUUCCCCUUACAGCCAUUGUAGUUCUCUUUCCACUGAGUUUUGCAGGUCAGAAUGACUGGGCAAGAUAAUUGUGCACAUAAGUGGUUAAACUGUCACCAGAGGAACAUCUGUGGCCAAAAAAGAUUAUAGGCCGGACCCGGCUCUAAAAAGAGAAUGUUUUUAGAAAAAUAAGUCGUAAAAGUAAAACUAUGUUAUCUCUAGCAGACGAGAAAUAAGUUGUAAAAGUAAACAACUGUGACCUUGCAGACUGCCCGCAUCUUGGUAUCUUGUGCAAACGUCCUUCACCACCCCAUGCUCUACCGCCCUCGCUUUGCUGGUUUGAAGUGUAUAAAGAGAAGGAGAAAGUUUUGCCUGGCGCUGCAGUCUUGAUCCUGUGUGGUCAGGCUGUAGUCCGAGUUCGAACUUGUCUGUUUCUGUCUUUCAACUUUUACCUGUUAAAUUUGCUCUUCUCUAACCUUUGUCUUUUCUCUAAUAAACUUACUCUUAGCUUUUACAGGUUUGAGGUCAGUGGUUCUUGUUGGGCACGACUCCGUAACAGUAACUCCUGACAUGGACGUGUGCUGCAGGACGACGGGAAACCUGUUUGAGAGCGGCUUCUGGAAGACCCUCUGCCAGGCCGGUGACGCACUUUGCUGACCUCUAUGCAGUCUCCUUCCAUCGACCUGCUUUACUGCCCACGCAGUUACCCAAGCUGCUGCCUCAUGAAAUCGACCGUGAAGCGCACCCAUGCUGAUAUUAACGCAAUGCUAGUGGUAUCUAGAAAAAUGUCUUUUUAAAUUAGUCGUCAAUAUUUAAUGAACAUUUUUAUUUUCUUGGCCUUUAAAACGAUUUGUUUGAAAUAAUCAUUCUGUAAAUUACAUUGUUAUUUAUCCUUAUGCUUUCUCAGUCAGAUUUUUAUUACUGUAAAACAAGCUUCAUGUUCAUCAGAAGUGAAAAUGUCACCAACUACCCAAAUAAUACAUUCUGGUUCGACUAGCAUAACUUUAUUACGUUUAAAAAUACCCACCCCCACCAUUCUUUUACUGUAUGAAAAACCCUUUCAUUACAUAGCAUUCAAAUCCACAUAUGUAAAAAUUAUGAACUGUCAAUCAUAGAAUUAAAAAGAAGUUAACUAAAAUACAAACUUUAGGAUUUUCUCCUGACCCCAGUAUGAUCUUAGUCUUUUAUUGCUGUGACAUUUGAUUAUCUGGAUUUUUUUGCUUUCAUUUUUUAUUUGGGAAAGGGCAAUAGAUUCACUUUUCAUGAUUUCAUGACUUGGUCGAACAACCUCAUUGAAGCAUAUCUCAGGUGUACCCAGACUCGCCCCUUUGGAAUGUACAGUUCGCUGUGCACCAGCAGGUUCACAGAGUGCUGCCGCCGUCACGAGAUCUGAUCUGAGAACAUUCUCAUCAUUAGCGGUCAUCUCCCAUUCUUACCUUUAUCUCACUCCCAACCUCAGGCAACUAGUUAGUCUGUCUUUAUAGAUUUGCCCAUUCAGGACAUUUCAUAUCACUGGAAUCAUGCAUUAUGUGGUAUUGUGUGACUGUCUUCUUUCCUUAGCAUAUUUCCCCCCAGACCUAUCCAUAGUAUGAAAACCUAACUACUGCCAUCGAGUCGAUGCUGACCCUUAAAGGCCUUCUAGGACACAAAGGCCCUAUAGGACACAAAGGCCCUAUAGGACAAGGCCCAACAGCCCUUGUGUUUCUACUCUUUAAGGGAGUAGAAAGUCCCCGUCUCUCUCCCCGGGAGCAGCUGGUGGUUUGGAACUGCUGAGUUUGCAGUGAGCAGCCCAACGCGGAACCCCAGGGUUCCUAGCCAUCACGUAUAGGAUGCUAUCCAUAGUGGAGCACGUACUUAGUUCUAUUUAUGCUGAAUGACAUUCCAUUGUCUGGAUAAUAUUACAUUUUGUAUCUAUGUAUCCCUUGAUCAGGAUUUGGAUUGUUCCCACUUUUCGGUUACUCUAAAUAAUACUACUAUGGGUAUUCAAGUAUGUUUUUGUAUAUCUCUUGUAAGUCUAUGCCUAGGAAUGGAAUUACUGGUCUACAUGUAACUGUAUUUAACUGUUGAAGAGUUGCAAGACUGUCUUCUGAAGAGGUGGAACCAUUUUCAUUCUUACCAGCAAUGUAGGAGGGUUCUAAAAUUUCAAAUUCUUACCAGUAUGUGUUGGUAUCAGUCUUUUAAAUGUAGCCACCAUAGUGAGCAUGAAGUGCAAUUUCAUUGUGGUUUUAAUUUGCAUUAGCCUAAUAACAAUGAUGUUUACCGCCUUGUCAUGUUUUCAUGUGCUUAAUGGUCAUGGGCAUAUGUAUUUUUUGAGAAACGCCUUUUCAGAUAUUCUGCCAUUUAGGUGAAGCGCAGAUCCGUUUCCUUUCUAGGUUAACCUCGCUAAUUCCAUCGCUCAUGAAGCUACCCUCUUCCUCUGUGUGGCAGUCCGUCAGCAUUGCUCUUAAUGCGCAGUCCGUAUCUGGUCGCUGCAUGGCCUCUUCCUUUAAGGAGGAAAGAAGGCUUCUGUGAAUGGUAGGACGACGAGGUGAAAUAAAGGAGGAGUGAGAGAGCAAUUCACCAACACGCCCACUCCAGGAGGAGAACGCAUUCUCAUCUGGAGAGUAAAAUUCGAGAGACUGAGUCAGUGAUGUGUAGUGAGUGGAGAGGUCAUUGUGCCAAAGGCCAUUCAUCCAGUCUGCGUUUCUUCCUGCUUCUCUCCUAAGAGGAUGCUGUGGGAAGGGGUAGAGGGGACUAAGUCCUCACCCGGAAUUCCUAUGGCCACUGCAGCUUUACUUAUGUUCUUUUAUAGAGGCAGAGACUAGGAGCAGGCACCUGGGCACCAGAAAAAACAAGUCUGUUCCCAUGAGUUGCUUUUGACUUAUAUCGGCCCUAUACGCCAGAGUAGAACUGCCUCCUGGGGGUUCAAAGACUGUAGUCUUCACUGAAGCAGACUGCCACCCCUUUUGCCUGUGGAGAAUGAGCUUAUGACAGGUCUGUACUGUCAACCUUGUGUGUGGAUAGCAGCCCAAUACUCAACCCACUGUGGACAUGACCUAUGAAGUUCUUCAUUCUGUAACAAUCUCCACUUUUUACCCCUUAUGCUGGGUUGAAUAAAGACUUUCAAAGAUGCCCACACCCUAA